ACUUCUGAAGACCAAAAUCUUUAUCUGCCAGCCAGCACAAACUAUGUUUGAGUAUGCACAAAGAAAACAGCUUUAAAACUGAGAUGGAUGACCUAGGAGCCACAUAAAGGAAAUUAAUCAAAAUGAAGGUAGAGACUUUUGAAUGAUCAACUGCAAGUGAUAUGACUUAUUUAAGUGUUUAGGUGUGGAUGCAAGGAGGUUGAAACACAAAGAGAAGAGAAUUCAAAACAUUUCCAGUGAAAGUGCAAGAAAAUAUUAAAGCACUGCUUAUUUUAAGGACAUUUUAUAUUCAUAAGACCGCCUGGAGAGCUCCCUAGCCCCUUCUGCCAUGUAAAGACACAGGAAGAAGAUGGUCAUCUAUGUAUCAGAAACUAAGC
Molecule: long non-coding RNA, 377 nt
Organism: Lontra canadensis (Northern American river otter)
Lineage: Eukaryota; Metazoa; Chordata; Mammalia; Carnivora; Mustelidae
Exons: 4
Source: RefSeq, a predicted model, not a curated record